Long non-coding RNA from Macadamia integrifolia, 635 nucleotides. RefSeq lists it as uncharacterized. The transcript has 2 exons. Lineage: Eukaryota; Viridiplantae; Streptophyta; Magnoliopsida; Proteales; Proteaceae. The record is from RefSeq and is a predicted model, not a curated record.
UAAUGGUGUUGAAGGCCUGCACACCAAAGUGACCGAGUUUAUAAGGGACAAGGAUUGUCCUGUCUGUGGUCCUGGAGUUCUUAUUGAGCUGGAUACUUCAAUCACUCUACAAAAGUUUAUGGAACUUCUUGGAGAAUACCCUAAGCUGCUUAUUUCGAAACCAAGUAUUUCAUACCUAGGAGAGAAUUUGUAUAUGCAAGCACCUCCUGUACUGGAAGAGAUGACUCGGUCAAACUUGACCCAACCUCUGUUCAACCUCAUGGGUAAAGUCCCAAAGGGAGUUGUCAAUGUCAGCGGCGUGACCAAGAAGGAUGACAAGAAAACAUCAUGCACGCGGAAACUACGAGUUGUGUUCAAGGGAAUUGAUGGAGUCACAGAUAUGGAUAUGGCUAUUGGGGCUUGAUAUUCUUCAACACCUGAUCUUAAUUGAAAUUUUACCCUAGUUAUUUUUUGGUGAAGUUCCAGAGCAUUAACUGCUGUGACAACCUUGGGAGGUGACUUGGGAUUUCUUUUGUGUGUGUUGUUAUAGUGUUUACAAGUUAUUGUAAGGACAACAUGUUGGUGCCUUCAGAAAGUUGGGAGAGGAAAAUAUUUUUGAUAUAUUGAGAGAUAUAUGGGGAUCAUUGUCUUUGGUA